AGGAGCUUGCUCUUCCUGAUUAGUGGCGCACGGGUGAGUAUACCAUAGAUAAUGUACCCCUUAGUUUGGGAUAGCCACUGGAAACGGUGAUUAAUACCAGAUACUCCUUCUUGUCAUAAGGCAAGUCGGGAAAGUUUUUUCGCUAAGGGAUCAGUCUAUGUCCUAUCAGCUUGUUGGUGAGGUAACGGCUCACCAAGGCUAUGACGGGUAUCUGGUUUGAGAGGAUGAUCAGACACACUGGAACUGAGACACGGUCCAGACUCCUACGGGAGGCAGCAGUGAGGAAUAUUGCACAAUGGAGGAAACUCUGAUGCAGCAACGCCGCGUGGAGGAUGACGCAUUUCGGUGUGUAAACUCCUUUUAAGAGGGAAGAUUAUGACAGUACCUCUUGAAUAAGCACCGGCUAACUCCGUGCCAGCAGCCGCGGUAAUACGGAGGGUGCAAGCGUUACUCGGAAUCACUGGGCGUAAAGGGUGCGUAGGCUGGCUUUUAAGUCAGGUGUGAAAUCCAAUGGCUCAACCAUUGAACUGCACUUGAAACUGGGAGCCUAGAGUUCAGAAGGGGCAGAUGGAAUUAGUGGUGUAGGGGUAAAAUCCGUAGAUAUCACUAGGAAUAUCAAAAGCGAAGGCGAUCUGCUGG
This 639-nucleotide ribosomal RNA is filed under the name uncultured Campylobacterota bacterium. RNAcentral's name for it is "bacterial SSU rRNA". It matches the Rfam family "Bacterial small subunit ribosomal RNA", at positions 74 to 732 of the family's 1533-position model. The record is from RNAcentral. Lineage: Bacteria; Pseudomonadati; Campylobacterota.